UACGAAGGGGGCUAGCGUUGUUCGGAAUUACUGGGCGUAAAGCGCACGUAGGCGGGUCGUUAAGUCAGGGGUGAAAUCCCAGAGCUCAACUCUGGAACUGCCUUUGAUACUGGCGACCUAGAGUCCGGAAGAGGUUAGUGGAAUUCCCAGUGUAGAGGUGAAAUUCGUAGAUAUUGGGAAGAACACCGGUGGCGAAGGCGGCGACCUGGUCCGAUACUGACGCUGAGGCGCGAAAGCUGGGGGAGCAAACGGG
This 253-nucleotide ribosomal RNA is filed under the name uncultured bacterium. RNAcentral's name for it is "partial 16S ribosomal RNA". It matches the Rfam family "Bacterial small subunit ribosomal RNA", at positions 524 to 776 of the family's 1533-position model. The record is from RNAcentral.